Molecule: non-coding RNA, 325 nt
Organism: Schizosaccharomyces pombe (fission yeast)
Lineage: Eukaryota; Fungi; Ascomycota; Schizosaccharomycetes; Schizosaccharomycetales; Schizosaccharomycetaceae
Source: the annotation of a GenBank genome assembly
CGAGAUUAUUGUUGCAAUGGUGAGUGGUGAUACCAAAUAUAAAAAGCGAACCUAAAGAUUCUGUAUCAAUUGAGCUCAAUUUGUGAUUUUAAUCAAGAUUGCCCUGUUAUGAGAGUUGUCCCAACAUAUUGAACUUGGUAAAAUUGUUGUCACAUAAAAAAAUAGUUAGCAAGAUUACCAUGAUUACUGGUUGCAGCUUGAGAAAUUCGUUUUCGGAGUUAAAGACUCAAACUAAUUUAUAGAUACAAUUUUAUGAAUGCUUAGUAAUAUUGUACAAUAUUUCUUUAACAGAUCGAUCAAAACACAUGUUUAAUAUCAAGAUAUG